This 473-nucleotide ribosomal RNA is filed under the name Tylos sp. clade F MM-2013. RNAcentral describes it as "partial 16S large subunit ribosomal RNA". It matches the Rfam family "Archaeal large subunit ribosomal RNA", at positions 1924 to 2660 of the family's 2987-position model. Lineage: Eukaryota; Metazoa; Arthropoda; Malacostraca; Isopoda; Tylidae. The record is from RNAcentral.
CGCCAGGAAUUUUCCUGGUAGGAUCUGCCCACUGAACUUUAAAUGGCCGCAGUACCCUGACUGUGCUAAGGUAGCAUAAUAAUUUGCCUUUUAAUUAAAGGCUAGCAUGAAUGAUUUGACGAAAGAAGAGCUGUCUCCGCUUAUUUUUAAUAAAUUAACCUAGAAGUUAAAAGGCUUCUAUUCUCUAGAGGGACGACAAGACCCUAUAAAGCUUUAUUUAUCAUAUUUCUAUUUAUUUCAAAAAAAAAUAUAAAUUUAUAAAUUUUAUUGGGGCGAUAGAUAAAAAAACAUUAUUAACCAUAACGUUUUUAACGAAACUUAUAAAAUAUUCUUAAACUAAACAAGUUACUUUAGGGAUAACAGCAUAAUUUCUUUUUAGAGCCCUUAUCGACAAAGAAGAUUAUGACCUCGAUGUUGAAUUGAGCUACUCCUUUUAUGUAGACUUAAAAGGCAGGAGUCUGUUCGACCCUUAA